RNAcentral lists this ribosomal RNA (997 nucleotides) under Trisetacus abietis. RNAcentral's name for it is "partial large subunit ribosomal RNA". The stretch from base 109 to 997 matches the Rfam family "Eukaryotic large subunit ribosomal RNA", at positions 1 to 639 of the family's 3401-position model. The record is from RNAcentral. Lineage: Eukaryota; Metazoa; Arthropoda; Arachnida; Trombidiformes; Phytoptidae.
CAAUGUGAUUUUGCUGGCAGUCGGGGUAACUUGGCCACUAGUCAGAGUCAACACACAGCAUUGAUCGGUGCAGCGUUACAAACUUUAGUGUUUAGUAAUAUCAAUGGUAUAUUGGCAGCAAUGUUGGUAUACCUCCUUUAGCCUAGGAUGCAAGUCCCAUUGACUUGGGCUUAUCUUCCAAUUGAGAUGACUAUAAUGUUGGGGCAACUUGACACUAUGGUUGAGCCAUAGAGGGUGAAAGUCCCCUAACGUCCAGGUAUUGAUAUUACGAACUAGAGAGCCAGCAAUGGCAUUUUGUUAGAGUCGGGUUGCUUGAGAGUGCAACCUAAAGAGCGAGGUAAACUGCUCGUAAGGCUAUUAGAGAAAUAUCGCUAUGACACCGAUAGCAAACAAGUACCGUGAGGGAAAGUUGCAAAGUACUUUGAAGAGAGAGUUAAACAGGGCGUGAAACCGCUAGCUGGUAAACGAGUAGAGCCACGAAGUCGUUUCGUAGAAUAAGAGAUACAGAUUCAGUUAGGGUCAUUUUUUUGGCUUUGGUGCAUUUCUGUUCGUCUCUCUAUGUAUGCGUACACUGCAACCAAUUAGACGAUCAAUUGUGGAAAUAGCUGGCCAACAUUAGGAGAAAUCUUGGUGCUGGUUAGCAAAAUGUUUAUAUGCCCUCUAUAGGUUGCUUGAUUUGGCCCUAGUGGUCAUCUUGAGUGUAUGAUAGGGAGGCAUGAGAGCUACAAUUGAAUACUGAUUGGCACAAUGAAAAUCCAUUCUUGCGAAUGGUCCUAGAUAACACUACCUGUGUCGUGUAUGUGUACAAGUAUUUAUUAUUAGCGUAAGACUGGUAGUUUUAAAUUUAGACUGGUAGGCUAUCUUGGGUUUCGGCCCUUGAUGCCUAUUCAGCUUUCUAUCUAAUUGGCUAUCAACUUUGCUAGUAAUCUUGUGCUUGUCAAUGGUAGCACACAUGCGACAAUAGGCAAGUAAUCUUAUUAGCAGUGAGUAGGUCGCU